Molecule: transfer RNA, 69 nt
Filed under: Megacopta cribriella
Lineage: Eukaryota; Metazoa; Arthropoda; Insecta; Hemiptera; Plataspidae
Description: tRNA-Cys
Rfam family: tRNA
About the family: Transfer RNA (tRNA) molecules are approximately 80 nucleotides in length.
Source: RNAcentral
AGCUUUAUAGUCAAAUUUAUGAUAUUAGACUGCAAUUCUGAAGUUAGGAAAAUUAACUCCUUAAAGCUU